UACAGAGGGGGCAAGCGUUGUUCGGAAUUACUGGGCGUAAAGGGCUUGUAGGUGGCCAACUAAGUCAGACGUGAAAUCCCUCGGCUUAACCGGGGAACUGCGUCUGAUACUGGAUGGCUUGAGUGUGGGAGAGGGAUGCGGAAUUCCCGGUGUAGUGGUGGAAUGCGUAGAUAUCGGGAGGAACACCAGUGGCGAAGGCGGUUGCCUGGGGCUUUGCUGACGCUGAUGCGCGAAAGCGUGGGGAGCGAUCCGG
This 253-nucleotide ribosomal RNA is filed under the name uncultured bacterium. RNAcentral describes it as "partial 16S ribosomal RNA". It matches the Rfam family "Bacterial small subunit ribosomal RNA", at positions 524 to 776 of the family's 1533-position model. The record is from RNAcentral.